Molecule: non-coding RNA, 165 nt
Filed under: Pongo abelii (Sumatran orangutan)
Lineage: Eukaryota; Metazoa; Chordata; Mammalia; Primates; Hominidae
Source: RNAcentral
GCUUUUGGCGCGGCCUUUGUCUCUGGCUGCAUCCCGAGCUUCAGGUCUCGUCUUCACUGGUCUGUGGCCUAUUCUCCUGGAACCCCAGCCUCUGUGGCCCUGUGACCUGCAGGUAUUGGGAGAUCCACAGCUAAAACCCCAGGACCCCCUGGAAGCCUAGAAAUG